AUUUAUAUAGUUUAAUAAAAAUAUAACAUUUUCAACGUUAAGUUAAUUAAUUUUUGUAAAUA
This 62-nucleotide transfer RNA is filed under the name Pelecotoma fennica. Its description in RNAcentral is "tRNA-Glu". Lineage: Eukaryota; Metazoa; Arthropoda; Insecta; Coleoptera; Ripiphoridae. The record is from RNAcentral.